GGUUGAUCCUGCCAGUAGUCAUAUGCUUGUCUUAAAGAUUAAGCCAUGCAAGUGUCAGUACGGCCCUACUCUCUGAGGGGGCGAGACUGCGGACGGCUCAUUAAAUCAGUUAUGAUUCCCAGGAGCCAGAACCACUUACUUGGAUAACUGUGGCAAUUCUAGAGCUAAUACAUGCACUUCAAGCUCCACCUGCCCCGUUCGCGGGGCGGGAGGUUGCGCACCUGUUAGCCUCGAAAGGCGGCGGCUUCGGCCCCGUCGAAAGGAGAUGAACUCUGGACAGCAUUGCCGAUCGCACGGCCUUUAGAGCCGGCGACGUACCUUUCAAGUGUCUGACCUAUCAUACUAGAUGAUUUGCGCUCUGCGCACCAUGGUUGCAACGGGUGACGGGGAAUCAGGGUUCGAUUCCGGAGAGGGAGCAUGAGAAACGGCUGCCACAUCCAAGGAAGGCAGCAGGCACGCAACUUACCCAAUGCCGACACGGCGAGGUAGUGACGAAAAAUACCAAUACGGGAACCGCUACACGCGGUCCCGCAAUUGAAAUGAGUACACUCUAAAUCCUUUAACGAGGAUCUAUUGGAGGGCAAGUCUGGUGCCAGCAGCCGCGGUAAUUCCAGCUCCAAUAGCGUAUGUCAAUGCUGCUGCGGUUGAAAAGCUCGGAGUUGGAUCUCGGUGACGGGCCGACCGUCUCGCUCUCGGAGCGAUGCACUGGUCGGCGAUAGGGGUAGGGUUUAACCGCCCUCACCCUUGCCUCCGUCCCUCUGUCCGGAAUUUGUUUCCUAGCCCGGGUGCUCUUGACUGAGUCGCUCGGUGCCUGGCCGGACGCUUCACUGUGAAAAAAUUAGAGUGCUCAAAGCAGGCCUCAGUGCCGGUAUAUCGCUGCAUGGAAUGAUAGAGAAGGACCUCGGCGCGUGCCCUCACCGGCACGGCGCACGAGGUAAUGAUUAAGAGGGACUGCCGGGGGCAUACGUACUGCGGCGCGAGAGGUGAAAUUCUGUGACCGUCGCAGGACGAACUAAAGCGAAGGCAUUUGCCAAGAAUGUCUUCAUUAAUCCAGAACGAAAGUCAGAGGCUCGAAGACGAUCAGAUACCGUCGUAGUUCUGACCGUAAACUCUGCCUACUGGCAAUCCGCCGACGGUAUCUCAACGACUCGGCGAGCGGCCUACGGGAAACCAAAGUGUUUGGGUUCCGGGGGGAGUACGGUCGCAAGGCUGAAACUUAAAGGAAUUGACGGAAGGGCACCACCAGGAGUGGAGCCUGUGGCUUAAUUUGACUCAACACGGGAAAACUCACCCGGUCCGGACACUGGUAGGAUUGACAGACUAAAGCUCUUUCUUAAUUCAGUGGGUGGUGGUGCAUGGCCGUUCUUAGUUGGUGGAGUGAUUUGUCUGGUUAAUUCCGAUAACGAACGAGACUCUUGCCUACUAAAUAGUUCGGGGACCUAGGUCCGUCCGCUCUGCGGGGGACCUGCUUCGGGUCACUCGAUCGCUCUACGGAGCCAACUUCUUAGAGGCACAAGUGGCGCUUAGCCACACGAAACGGAGCAAUAACAGGUCUGUGAUGCCCUUAGAUGUCCGGGGCCGCACAUGCGCUACAAUGGCUGCAUCAGCGCGAGUCUCUCCUGAAAGGGCGAGGAAACCGCUCAACCGCAGUCGCGGUUGGGAUUGGGGGCUGCAAGUGUCCCCCAUGAACACGGAAUUCCUAGUAGGCGCCAGUCAUCAGCUGGCGUCGAUUGAGUCCCUGCCCUUUGUACACACCGCCCGUCGCUAUUACCGAUCGCUCUCGUUAAUGAGCCCGUCGGAUUGGACCCGGUGGGGCGUUUCGGCGCCCCGCGUCCUGGUGUUUGCCGAGAAGAUGGGCGAAUUAUCGGGGGUAGAGGAAAUAAAAGUCGUAACAAGGUAUCCGUAGGUGAACCUGCGGAUGGAUCAUUAACAAAUAAACAUUGAAAAAUAACAAGAAGCUAACGGCUCAGAUUUGAACUCGCUCCGCGGCGGCGUUGCCUCAGAGCAGUGCUGCCGAUCGGGAUUGGCGUGGCCCGAGGCUCCCGAAGCUUUAUGUGCCCGCCUGAGAGGCGAUCGACCGUUAGUCCACGUAGAACGAAAGUCACAGACCCAGGCGAUGGAGACGCCUCAGGGGGCUCUAUAGCAGUACUGAACUAUCACCCAAAAAAGCCUCUCGGUUUGUAAACACAAACAAAAACAACACACUCGGAGGGAGGAGGGAAAGUGUGAAUAGUGCUACGGCGGUCUUUUUCUUUAAACUUAGGCUCCGCGAUGGCGGCGCUGCCUCAACAGCAGUGCUGCCGAGCGGGAUUGGCGCGGCCAAAAGGCUCCCCGUCGAUAGACGGGGGCUUCGUGUGCCCGCCUGAGAGAGGCGAUCGACCGUAGCCUUAAAGAACGAAAGUCAUUUCUUAUUAUUCUCGCCCAACCCACUCUGUGGGCGGCGAGAUAUGAAAAUCCAUAGGAAAAAAAAGUCGCAAGACUUCGACCCCGGCGCUAGCCACGCCGGGGGCCCGAAAGCAAUGAAUCAACACAAUUCGGCUUUUUUAAUCUUACUACUCUGUGCGGUGGAUCACUCGGCUCGUGCGUCGAUGAAGAGCGCAGCUAGCUGCGAGAGGUAAUGUGAAUUGCAGGACCGCAUCGAAACAUCGACAUCUUGAACGCACAUAGCGGCUUCCGGGUCACUCCGGAAGCCACGUCUGUCUGAGGGUCGGCAUUGUUUGCAAUCCGAGCGGGGCGAAACGUCCAAGUUUCACCACCCCGCUGCAGGAGUUGGCGCGGUCCGAGGCUCUUAUUACUGAGCUGGACGUACCCGCCUUGAGAACAAAUAAACCAAGAGCCGGGGUCAGAUGUCCGGCGCCGUGGCCUAAUGCGGAAACGUGAAAGGGCCUGCGGCGCGACUGGGGUCGACUCGAAGCUCUUUAUGCCGGUAGGGGUCUGAUGUCCGGCGCCGUGGCCCGAUGCGGAAACGUUAUCUGGGCCCGCGGUGCGACUGGGGUCGACCCUCCACGUUUAGCAGCUGACCUCAGAUCAGGCGGGAAUACCCGCUGAACUUAAGCAUAUCAAUAAGCGGAGGA
Molecule: ribosomal RNA, 3074 nt
Filed under: Fragum loochooanum
Lineage: Eukaryota; Metazoa; Mollusca; Bivalvia; Cardiida; Cardiidae
Description: eukaryotic LSU rRNA
Rfam family: Eukaryotic small subunit ribosomal RNA (bases 1-1929)
Source: RNAcentral